UGAGUAACACGUAGGAAUCUACCCAGUAGUGGGGAAUAGCCCUCCGAAAGGAGGGGUAAUACCGCAUACACCCUUCGGGGAAAAGGCCUCGGCCGCUAUUGGAGGAGCCUGCGCGCUAUCAGCUAGUUGGUGGGGUAACUGCCUACCAAGGCUAUGACGGCUAGCCGAUGUGAGAGCAUGAUCGGCCACAAGGUUACUGAGACACGGAGCCUACACCUACGGGUGGCAGCAACUAGGAAUCUUGCGCAAUGGACGAAAGUCUGACGCAGCAACACCGCGUGUGGGAAGACGCUCCUCGGAGUGUAAACCACUGUGGCAAGGGAACAAGUACUGAGCGUACCUUGCUAGAAAGCACCUGCUAACCACGUGCCAGAAGCCUCGGUAAUACGUGGGGUGCAAGCGUUAUCCGGAAUUACUGGGCGUAAAACGUCCGUCGGCGGUGUAUCAAGUCUUUUGUUUAAGCCUGGGGCUCAACUCCAGAUCGGCAAAGGAAACUGAUACACUUGAGUCUAUUCGGGGAAGCUGGAAUUCUCGGUGGAGGGGUGAAAUCCGUAGAUAUCGAGAGGAACGCCAAUCGCGAAAGCAGGCUUCUAGAGUAGUACUGACGCUCAGGGACGAAGGCUAGGGUAGCAAAAGGGAUUAGAGACCCCUGUAGUCCUAGCCGUAAACGUUGGAUGCUAGUUGCUCCGAUUUCGAUCGGAGUGGCGUAAGCUAACGCGUUAAGCAUCCUGCCUGGGGAGUACGGCCGCAAGGCUAAAACUCAAAGGAAUUGACGGGGGAGCGCACAACCGGUGGAGCAUGUGGUUUAAUUCGAUACAAAGCGAAAAACCUUACCUGGGUUUGACAUCUCGCUUAUGUCUCUCUGGAAACAGAGGGUCUUAAAGGCGAUGACAGGUGAUGCAUGGCUGUCGUCAGCUCGUGUCGUGAGA
This 929-nucleotide ribosomal RNA is filed under the name uncultured organism. RNAcentral's name for it is "bacterial SSU rRNA". It matches the Rfam family "Bacterial small subunit ribosomal RNA", at positions 107 to 1072 of the family's 1533-position model. The record is from RNAcentral.